CCUACAGCCCUACGGUGCUUAAAGCUAAGAUACAAUCCUACAUGGUUCAAUUGUUCAUAAGUAAUAGUAGGUUCGACCGAAUUACUAUAGUCAAAUCUUAGUUUGCUUGCUAGAGAUCGAUUACCGACAAUUAGCUAACUCAGUUGCAAACCCUUGCAUAUAUUUUUUUCUUUAAUUUUGUGAGUUUUCUUACACACCGAGAACGUGUAAUAACAGGUGUGCAAUUCUCAAAGUCCCAAGAGAACAGGUUCAAAGGGCGAACAACAUAGCAAGAAGAUGUCGUUUUACCAUCUCUAAUUAUUAUUAUUAUUUUUUUUUUUGACAAAAGUGUUGGUUUGUUGUUGCCUUUGCUAUUGUGAAAACAAAGAAAAAAUACGUGUAUUAACGCAUAAAUAAUGCUUCAAUGAAUAAAAUUUUCUAAUAUAUCUAUUUAAAUUCUUCAUCAUUUAUAAAGAUAUUCUUAUUCUUCUUUUUUUUCUUUUUUUCUUUUUUAUUUUUUUUAAUUCAAAUUAAAGCUAGAUCAUUUCAAUAAUGCAUGCAUGAUUAUCCUCAUAUAUCGCCAGUUGUCUAUAAAUAGACAAUCCUUUUGUCCUCUGGCCUUACAUAUCCUCAAAUUUUAAUUAAUCUGUAACAUAUAUACUAUUUCAAUUAAGAAUUGAAGAAGAAUGGCGUCGUCUGUGCAACAGAAAAGGGACAAUGUGAUGGGUGAGAAAGAAAAGGCGAUGAUGGAAGAGGGGAUGAAAGACGCAAAGAACUACAUAAUGACAAACAACAUAAGCAAUAAUCAGAUUCAAGCAAUGGCAGUGGUCUCCAUCAGAAGCAGUUUCGGACAACGAAUGAGGUCGUACAGAAACCAUAGUUGGAUUGGGAAUUUUAUGGCGAGGCUUCCUGAUUACAUCAACGGAGGUGAUGGGGCUGUGUUUGUGCACAAGGGCUCUAAGGGGGCGCUCUUGUAUGGUCUCGAGCGUGAUGCAACUCCUCUUGCCCUUGGAUGGAUACUGUCUUGGUCCAAACCCGACACCCCUGGUGAGCCUAAUAGGGUAUGUAUACAUUUACUCCCAAUAAAAAACACUCAUUUUGCAAAUAAGGCCCUGUUUUAUUCACCUUAUUUCCAUUUAUUUCAGGAAAAAUAAGUUCGAAUAAGUUCAAAUAAGGGUUAAUUAAUAAGUUCAGAUUAGAUAAGUUCAGAAAAAAUAAGUUCAGAUAAAUUGUGAUAAUUCAUAUAAGUUUAGAUGCGUUAAGACAAGUUCAGAUAAGAUUAGAUAAGUUUAGAUAAAUAAAAAUCAGGUGAAUAGAAUGCACCUUAACUACCUUAUAAUUCAAAAAAGAAAAACACUUUUUAUGAACAUUAUUUGUUAAUGAGGCCCAGAACCAAUGUCCAUACAACACAAUUACCUCUAAUAACUAGUUAAUUACACUCACUUAGCCCCAACUACCACUAAGUACACCCAUAUAACCUCAAUUUCCCCUAUUUUAGGGUUUUAAUUAAGGGGUGGCUGUAGUCAAUUCUACCUUCAGUAUCAACAGCCCAGGGGGACCAUAGAUUUCCCUAUUGCAUAUCAAGAAGUAUACUUCAUAACAAAUUAUGUAUAAUACUCGUAUGUAAUAUAAUAUUCGGAAUAACACAAGCGACUUAGUGUGCUAAGUUGUGACCAAAAAAAAAAUGUACGUGUGUGGUAUGUCCCUCGCAUUGCUUUGCUUGGCUUGGCUUUGCUAUAACCUGGACAUUUAUCAUCUUAAUAAAAAUUAAUGAUAAAUCCUUAUAAUGAUUUCAAGAGUAUGCAAUGUUUUGAUCUUGUUGUUCCUAUAUAUGUCUUGUAUUUUUUUUUUUUAAAAACAGUAUAUGUCAUGUACUUGAGGCGUCGUUUGUGAUGAGACUGAUGAGUAAGGAUUAUUAAUGCAUACAUUUAUUAGUUUAUAACCUUAGAAAAUUUACCAAAUUUUACUAUUGAACGUUCACGAAAUUGGUGCAAGUUUUAAACGGGCAAAUUGAGUUCACGAAAUAGGUGCAAGUUUCAAAUGGGCAUAUUGAGCGUUUCAAGAAAAAUUAGAUGGUUCCACCCACCAAUUGGACUCCGGAGGGUAUUGGGGACCAAGGAAUUUUUGACGUUACGGGGCCUGUGGAGAAAAGUCUUGAAACCCUAAAGGAUACAUUUUAGGAUCAUAUAA
Molecule: RNA transcript, 2169 nt
Organism: Chenopodium quinoa (quinoa)
Lineage: Eukaryota; Viridiplantae; Streptophyta; Magnoliopsida; Caryophyllales; Amaranthaceae
Exons: 3
Source: RefSeq, a predicted model, not a curated record